RNAcentral lists this long non-coding RNA (306 nucleotides) under Androctonus crassicauda. The record is from RNAcentral. Lineage: Eukaryota; Metazoa; Arthropoda; Arachnida; Scorpiones; Buthidae.
AGCACUGCAACUGAAAGACGAUAUGAUUUGGGCUACCUACGACUUUGAAGUGCUCUUUCCGUCCCUCCGCCUGGAGCCGGUGUGCCUCUACUUCUACUGUUUUCUGCUUGAGAAUCUCCUACAGGACCAGUUAGAUGCAAUGUUGAUUAGAGACUUAGUGCACCUGAUCUGUUAUAAUUCAUACUUUAUGUUUAGAUGGAAGAUCUAUAGACAAGUUAGAAGGGUGCCCAUUGGUAGCCCAAUUGCCGGGACCCUAGCGGAAAUUAUCCUUAGAGCAGUUGAAAAGGAGAAAAUAGCGAAAUAUGA